RNAcentral lists this ribosomal RNA (1140 nucleotides) under uncultured bacterium. RNAcentral's name for it is "bacterial SSU rRNA". It matches the Rfam family "Bacterial small subunit ribosomal RNA", at positions 8 to 1122 of the family's 1533-position model. The record is from RNAcentral.
AGAGUUUGAUCCUGGCUCAGAACGAACGCUGGCGGCGUGCCUAACACAUGCAAGUCGUACGAGAAAAUCCGCUUCGGCGGGUGAGUAGAGUGGCGCACGGGUGAGUAACGCGUGGAUAAUCUGCCUUUAAGCUGGGAAUAACUCACCGAAAGGUGGGCUAAUACCCGAUAAUGCUAUGGGACUUCGGUUUUAUAGCCAAAGAGAGCCUCUACAUGUAAGCCUUCACUUAAAGAUGAGUCCGCGUACCAUUAGCUAGUUGGUAGGGUAAUGGCCUACCAAGGCGACGAUGGUUAGCUGGUCUGAGAGGAUGAUCAGCCACACUGGAACUGAGACACGGUCCAGACUCCUACGAGAGGCAGCAGUGAGGAAUAUUGCGCAAUGGGGGCAACCCUGACGCAGCAACGCCGCGUGAGUGAGGAAGGUCUUCGGAUCGUAAAGCUCUGUCGGGUGGGAAGAAGUGUGCAUAGGUUAAUAGCUUGUGCACUUGACGGUACCGCCAAAGGAAGCACCGGCUAACUCCGUGCCAGCAGCCGCGGUAAUACGGGGGGUGCGAGCGUUGUUCGGAAUCAUUGGGCGUAAAGAGCGUGUAGGCGGCUAGGCAAGUCAGAUGUGAAAUCCCUGGGCUUAACCCAGGAAGUGCAUUUGAAACUGCUUAGCUUGAGUAAGGAAGAGGGAAGUGGAAUUCCUGGUGUAGAGGUGAAAUUCGUAGAUAUCAGGAGGAACACCGGUGGCGAAGGCGACUUCCUGGUCCUAUACUGACGCUGAGACGCGAGAGCGUGGGGAGCAAACAGGAUUAGAUACCCUGGUAGUCCACGCCGUAAACGAUGUUCACUAGGUGUUGAGGGUAUUGACCCCUUCAGUGCCGAAGCUAACGCAUUAAGUGAACCGCCUGGGGAGUACGGUCGCAAGGUUAAAACUCAAAGGAAUUGACGGGUCCCCGCACAAGCAGCGGAGCGUGUGGUUUAAUUCGUUGCUACACGAAGAACCUUACCUGGGUUUGACAUAGCAGUGGUAGGGAAGCGAAAGCAGACCGACCCUUCGGGGAGCUGUUACAGGUGUUGCAUGGCUGUCGUCAGCUCGUGUCGUGAGAUGUUCGGUUAAGUCCGCUAACGAGCGCAACCCUCGCUGUGUGUUACAAGU